This 294-nucleotide signal recognition particle RNA is filed under the name Carlito syrichta (Philippine tarsier). RNAcentral's name for it is "Metazoan signal recognition particle RNA (ENSTSYG00000033226.1)". It matches the Rfam family "Metazoan signal recognition particle RNA". Rfam says of the family: The signal recognition particle (SRP) is a universally conserved ribonucleoprotein. It is involved in the co-translational targeting of proteins to membranes. The eukaryotic SRP consists of a 300-nucleotide 7S RNA and six proteins: SRPs 72, 68, 54, 19, 14, and 9. The record is from Rfam by way of RNAcentral. Lineage: Eukaryota; Metazoa; Chordata; Mammalia; Primates; Tarsiidae.
GUCAGGCAUGGUGGUGCGUGUGUAGUCCCAGUUAUUCAGAAGGCUGUGUCGCGGAUCACUUGAGGCCAGGUAUUCUGGGCUGUAGUGUCCUAUGUCAAUUGAGUGUCUGCACUCAGCUCAGCAAGGAUCUCUAACCAGCAUCUUGGAAGCUGGGGAACACUGGGAUACCUAAGAAGGGGUGAACCAGCUCAGUUCUGAAAUGGAGCAGGUCAAAACUCCCAUGCUGAUAGAUGAUGGGAUCAGGCUUGUCAAUAGCCACUGCACUCCAGCCUGGGCAGCACUGCAAGAUACCAU